GAUGAAGAACGUAGCGAAAUGCGAUACUUGGUGUGAAUUGCAGAAUCCCGUGAACCAUCGAGUCUUUGAACACAAGUUGCGCCCGAAGCCAUCAGGUUGAGGGCACGUCUGCCUGGGCGUCACAUAUCGUUGCCCAAUGCCUAUUGCAGUGCAAUAGGAAUUUCUAGGGCGAAUGAUGGCUUCCCGUGAGCGUUGUUGCCUCGCGGUUGGUUGAAAAUCGAGUCCUUGGUAGGGUGUGCCAUGGUAGAUGGUGGUCGAGUUAGAACGAUACCGAUCAUGUGCAUGCUCCCCAAAAUAUGGCCUCUAUGACCCACACGCGUCUUUUGACGCUCAUGACGAGACCUCAGGUCAGGCGGGGCUACCCGCUGAAUUUAAGCAUAUCAAUAAGCGGAGGA
This 395-nucleotide unclassified non-coding RNA is filed under the name soil metagenome. Its description in RNAcentral is "partial contains 5.8S ribosomal RNA, internal transcribed spacer 2, and large subunit ribosomal RNA". The stretch from base 1 to 122 matches the Rfam family "5.8S ribosomal RNA", at positions 35 to 154 of the family's 154-position model. The record is from RNAcentral.